CUUGCUAUUAAAAUCAAAGAUUUUAUUAUCAGUACAGAGUUUCAUAAGUAAUGACGAACAUUCUAGAAGUAUCGAGCAGUUGACAUUUUAAAAGGAGGCGGUCAAUUGGAUUGAACAAAUUUUACGUCUAGAACCCAAGUCGCUAUGCUUCUUUCUAGAUUCAAUGGACGAGUGGGAAAACAAAAAGAUGCCUACUACUAUUGGGCCAACUAAGUAUACCAUGUCGAAAUUGGGUGGGUUGGGCCGAUUCUAGCAAGAUCUAAUCUUCCUUUCCAGGGUAAGAGUCUAAUUUGGUUAACAUGACGGAUAAGCUUGUAAUUGCAAUGGACAAUUAAUAAAAAUAAAAAAAAUAAUAGUAUAAUCUAGUAGAGUACUUACUUAAGUCGACUAUGAUUGUAAACCGAUUAACAAUGCAGUUCCUUGGUGAAAUCGUUAGGCAAAGGGGUGACGAGGAAUGGCGUACUUCAAAGAGCUGGUUUAUAGGCCGGAUGGGGUCCGAGGAAAGGAAUGGCGUACUUCAAAGAGCUGGUCGCAAGUAAAAUUGCUACUUUCACAAGGUUCUGAGUUUUUGCUAACAACCUUAGGUAGGAGUUACCAGUCAUGAUGAUGGAUUCAGAAUGAAAUCAGGAUUUGAAGAUGAACUAAAUUGUUUUUUAUUGAAUACAAAAGUUGGCAUAUGCAAAUCAUGACAGAGAAACAAAACACCUCAAGAUGGAAGAAUUCCAACAUUCUCUUGCUACAUAAGGAUUAACAAUGCUACUACAUAUUAUUCUAUGCAGUGCUACUACAUAUGCAUAAGUUUAACAUCCUAUUCAUUCAUUCCUUCCUAUGUCAUUUCUCUAGGUUAACCAUUUUCCAUAAACACAUACAUUAUUAUUUAGUUGAAUGCACAGGAUACCACCCCAUUUCACAUAGUGUAUCAUUCCAGAUGCCAUCUCAUGGAAAAGCCGGUGAAAAUUAAAUUAUAAGAAGGAUGCAGACCAUGCCCCCAUUUAUUCAACAGAAAACUUCAUAAUGGAACGAAAACCUCCUGCAAGAAAGAAAAUAUUGCAAUGUUAAAAUUAUUUUUCGCCAUUCGCAUAAACUUAUUAAAUGAGCACACUACACAAUUUGGCAACCAAAGAGAGAUGAAAACAUGAGAUAUAUAGAGCUAACAACGUCAAGAGAAUUGCAACAAUUAAAGGAACAAGAAACCCGAAGGAUACUUCCAUUUGCAAAAAAGAAUUGCAUCACAAAAAAGAGUAACAUGUAGAAAGUGGACUCUCAUUUUGUAUUUUCACCAGUAUAAAAUUGAAGAAUUAUGUCACUUUUCUAUAGACCAUUGAAAGAGAUCACUCAUUUUGGAGGUACAAGAAUAGAAAUAGGACUCUCAUUUCAUUUUGAGAUUUAAGUAUUUUACAACUAGAUUGCAUCUACAUAUCCACAACUUCUACACAUUAUACAUAUACCGUCUUGUUAUAGAUAAGUAAGGUAUUAUUCCAAUUUCCAAAAGUCUUGAUCCCUACCACCUCUAACACAAUCUGAUAUUGAUAUGACUACAAAGCUCCCAAGGACAUAUCCCCAAAAGCAAAACCAAUAUGAUGUUCCAAAACACCCAUAUGAGAGAAGUGGGCCAGAAAAAAAUUCCCAAAUGCAAUUGCCCGAGCUUCUCAAAACCACAAAGAAAAGACCUUUAAAUUGUGGUAAGAAUUCACAAAAUAAGCAAAUACAAAUACAAUCAACUGCAGAAUUAAGUAUCUAAAACAUUGAAAUUGGAGAAAAUUAUCAAGACCCAAUAACUAAUAUGCACAAAAAAGUAAAAUAAAGAUGAUCAAGUUUCAAUUCAAUUCAAUUAAAACAUCAUAGGAGAGCUUACGUACCUGUAUAAUUUUUAGGGAAUGAAUGGAAUUAAGAAAGAUCCUUGGCGUUAUGUAAGAAAGCAGCAGAGCAAAGAAUAGAAGCAAUAAAAGCGAAAAGACCCAGCCCAAUCAUCAGAGAAAUCCCCGCCACCACCAAGUCCAUUAAACACUGCACACUCACUCCCAUCAUCUUUUCCCCUCUUCACACACCCUCUCUCUCUCUCUCUCUAUAUAUAUAUAUAUAUAUAUCUUUUUAAUUCGAUUUAUUAUUCCCACAGGCAAUGUCUAUGAAAUUGGGUUUUCCUCCUUUGCAUGAUCAUUUAUACUACACUGCUACACAUGGCACAGAAGAAUGAAAGAGAGAGAAAGAGGGACAGAGAGAGUUGUGACUACUGACAAAUUUGCUGAUAACGUCUUGGAAGGUUGAUACACAAUCACAUUACACGCCUCACCCCAACGGUUGAGGCAUCGGCUAAUAACGCUAGUUAUGGGCCUACUGAGCUCAAUUAUGGGCCUUACUUGACCUCAACUUGUGUGACUUGUUCGAGCACCCUAACAAAAUUUAGAGCUUGUUCGGUACAAGGUGG
This 2425-nucleotide long non-coding RNA is filed under the name Panax ginseng (ginseng). Its description in RNAcentral is "long non-coding RNA (PGIN_LNC018629)". The record is from RNAcentral. Lineage: Eukaryota; Viridiplantae; Streptophyta; Magnoliopsida; Apiales; Araliaceae.